AUGAACCUGAAUCAAGACCAGCAGUUUUCUGAAGCUUUUGAUUUCAAGCAGGAAUCUAAAGUGGUAUCUUUCUAUGAUCUGUUGACAAUUUUGGAAUUUUAGAAAUCUAAUGUUCAAUUUAUUAGAAAGAAAAAACU
This is a small nucleolar RNA of Cavia porcellus (domestic guinea pig), 137 nucleotides long. The record is from Ensembl. Lineage: Eukaryota; Metazoa; Chordata; Mammalia; Rodentia; Caviidae.